This 260-nucleotide unclassified non-coding RNA is filed under the name Hevea brasiliensis (rubber tree). The record is from RNAcentral. Lineage: Eukaryota; Viridiplantae; Streptophyta; Magnoliopsida; Malpighiales; Euphorbiaceae.
UACCUCAUAUGCCUUCCCUCUUCACCGUGCAGCUAUCAAGGGAAGGCAUAUGAGGUAAUCAGUGUAACGCUUUCGUGUUGUCCUGAUUGUAUUGAGGGCAUAAGUGUUCUAGGAGAGACUGCUUUGCACCUGGCUGUCAGUUUCAAGCACUAAAUGCAUUGGUGGAUUGGAUUAAAAUGAAUAGGGAACACGUGUUGAACAUGAAGGUGAAUUGGGUAACAGAGUUCUGCACCUUGUAGCCUGGAAAAAACAGCAUCAGG